AGUGGCGAACGGGUGAGUAAUACAUCGGAACGUGCCCGAUCGUGGGGGAUAACGGAGCGAAAGCUUUGCUAAUACCGCAUACGAUCUACGGAUGAAAGCAGGGGACCGCAAGGCCUUGCGCGGACGGAGCGGCCGAUGGCAGAUUAGGUAGUUGGUGGGAUAAAAGCUUACCAAGCCGACGAUCUGUAGCUGGUCUGAGAGGACGACCAGCCACACUGGGACUGAGACACGGCCCAGACUCCUACGGGAGGCAGCAGUGGGGAAUUUUGGACAAUGGGCGAAAGCCUGAUCCAGCCAUGCCGCGUGCAGGAUGAAGGCCUUCGGGUUGUAAACUGCUUUUGUACGGAACGAAAAGACUCCUUCUAAUAAAGGGGGUCCAUGACGGUACCGUAAGAAUAAGCACCGGCUAACUACGUGCCAGCAGCCGCGGUAAUACGUAGGGUGCAAGCGUUAAUCGGAAUUACUGGGCGUAAAGCGUGCGCAGGCGGUUAUAUAAGACAGAUGUGAAAUCCCCGGGCUCAACCUGGGAACUGCAUUUGUGACUGUAUAGCUAGAGUACGGU
Molecule: ribosomal RNA, 562 nt
Filed under: Acidovorax sp.
Lineage: Bacteria; Pseudomonadati; Pseudomonadota; Betaproteobacteria; Burkholderiales; Comamonadaceae
Description: bacterial SSU rRNA
Rfam family: Bacterial small subunit ribosomal RNA
Source: RNAcentral